Molecule: ribosomal RNA, 701 nt
Filed under: Streptomyces platensis
Lineage: Bacteria; Bacillati; Actinomycetota; Actinomycetes; Kitasatosporales; Streptomycetaceae
Description: bacterial SSU rRNA
Rfam family: Bacterial small subunit ribosomal RNA
Source: RNAcentral
UGGAUCAGUGGCGAACGGGUGAGUAACACGUGGGCAAUCUGCCCUGCACUCUGGGACAAGCCCUGGAAACGGGGUCUAAUACCGGAUAUGACCACUGACCGCAUGGUUGGUGGUGGAAAGCUCCGGCGGUGCAGGAUGAGCCCGCGGCCUAUCAGCUUGUUGGUGGGGUGAUGGCCUACCAAGGCGACGACGGGUAGCCGGCCUGAGAGGGCGACCGGCCACACUGGGACUGAGACACGGCCCAGACUCCUACGGGAGGCAGCAGUGGGGAAUAUUGCACAAUGGGCGAAAGCCUGAUGCAGCGACGCCGCGUGAGGGAUGACGGCCUUCGGGUUGUAAACCUCUUUCAGCAGGGAAGAAGCGCAAGUGACGGUACCUGCAGAAGAAGCACCGGCUAACUACGUGCCAGCAGCCGCGGUAAUACGUAGGGUGCGAGCGUUGUCCGGAAUUAUUGGGCGUAAAGAGCUCGUAGGCGGCUUGUCGCGUCGGAUGUGAAAGCCCGGGGCUUAACCCCGGGUCUGCAUUCGAUACGGGCAGGCUAGAGUUCGGUAGGGGAGAUCGGAAUUCCUGGUGUAGCGGUGAAAUGCGCAGAUAUCAGGAGGAACACCGGUGGCGAAGGCGGAUCUCUGGGCCGAUACUGACGCUGAGGAGCGAAAGCGUGGGGAGCGAACAGGAUUAGAUACCCUGGUAGUCCACGCCGU